This 1175-nucleotide long non-coding RNA is filed under the name Trifolium pratense (red clover). Its description in RNAcentral is "long non-coding RNA (TPRA_LNC012901)". Lineage: Eukaryota; Viridiplantae; Streptophyta; Magnoliopsida; Fabales; Fabaceae. The record is from RNAcentral.
AUUUAGUGGAACUUGAGACUGGUCAAGAUGUUGUUGUUGACAGGAUCAGCCAAAUGAUCUAAAAGGUUUUGAUAUGGUCCAACACCUGUAACAAGACCUUGAACAAAGUAACCCAAUAUUGCCAACAUAGCUAACCUUCCAUUCUUAACUUCUUUCAGCUUUAACUCUUUCAAUGAUUUCUCAUCUUUACCAAAACCAAGAGGGUUAAAGAAAGGUCCACCAGGGUAAGCUGGUUCACCAGAACCACCAAGACCUUUUUCAAGUCCUAAGAAGUAUUGUUUUCCCAUGGAACCAGGGUUAUACCAAUCUUGGAAUCUUCUAUGUUCUGCAAAUCCCAUAAGUGCCAGUUCUAAGACAAAGAGUGUGUAAUUGUCUGCCCAGUAGUUGUAUGUUCCUGCUGGUGGAAUAACACCGGUUUGGAACCAAGCGAGAGCGGUUUCUUGUGGAAUUAAACCGGCUUUGCCGAGGAUUUCAGGUGCUAUUGCUCCUACUGCUCCCAACAUUGCGUAGCGACCAUUGAUUAUCUCGCCGUAUGCUAGCCAUCUUGGCUCAAUAAAACCUCCUGUUCCUUCUGGAUCUGAAAGUCCUAGAGGAUCAAAUCCAUAGUCACCUGGAAGGCUGCAGGUGAUGAUGAUGAUAAUGUCAAAUGAAGUCAAUUUUGAUUCUCAACACAUUGUGUUACCAAACAAAGUUGCAUAUACAUUACCGGCUUAAAGAGUUUUUACACUAUCAAUUAAUCAUAACUGUCAAAUCAUUAGAAACGUUCGACUUUUAUGAUAACCACUUCUAAAAUCAUACACAUGGACUCUAUUUGGGUAAAUAACUUAAUUAAAAGCUUAUAGUAUAAACGCUUAUCAUAUAAGUGUUUAUGUGUAAGCUAUUUCUAUAACAAAUGGUAAAAUAAAACAAUUUUCAUACAAGUUAUAAGUUGUAUUCAUAAACUACCUUAGAAAACUUAUGAAAUAAACUAAGAACAUCUUAUAGACAUGUCAUAAGUUGUUUUCAUACGUUCUCUCAAACAUCUUAUAGACAUGUCAUAAAAAUAGAUUAUACUUAAUCAUAUACAAUAAUAAUCACUUAAUUAGACAGUUAACUCAAGACACACUAUAGGUUCUUAGACUCACAAAACAUCCAUCUUACAAUAUAUUUUCUUCAACUACUAAGAAAUUUACCUG